This is a small nuclear RNA of Otolemur garnettii (small-eared galago), 107 nucleotides long. The record is from Ensembl. NCBI's taxonomy places the organism in Eukaryota, Metazoa, Chordata, Mammalia, Primates, Galagidae.
GUGCUUGCCUCGGCAGCACAUAUACGAAAAUUGGAACGAUACAGAGAAGAUUAGCACGGCCUCUGCUCAAGGAUGACAUGCAAAUUCAUGAAGUGUUCCAAAAUUUU